RNAcentral lists this ribosomal RNA (567 nucleotides) under uncultured bacterium. Its description in RNAcentral is "bacterial SSU rRNA". It matches the Rfam family "Bacterial small subunit ribosomal RNA", at positions 9 to 579 of the family's 1533-position model. The record is from RNAcentral.
GAGUUUGAUCAUGGCUCAGGAUGAACGCUAGCGGCAGGCUUAACACAUGCAAGUCGAGGGGUAUUCUAGCAAUAGGAGAGACCGGCGCACGGGUGCGUAACGCGUAUGCAAUCUACCUUUCACAGAGGGAUAGCCCAGAGAAAUUUGGAUUAAUACCUCAUAGUAUAAUGACUCGGCAUCGAGAUAUUAUUAAAGUCACAACGGUGAAAGAUGAGCAUGCGUCCCAUUAGCUAGUUGGUAAGGUAACGGCUUACCAAGGCGACGAUGGGUAGGGGUCCUGAGAGGGAGAUCCCCCACACUGGUACUGAGACACGGACCAGACUCCUACGGGAGGCAGCAGUGAGGAAUAUUGGACAAUGGGCGCAAGCCUGAUCCAGCCAUGCCGCGUGCAGGAUGACGGUCCUAUGGAUUGUAAACUGCUUUUGCACAGGAAGAAACACCCCCUCGUGAGGGGGCUUGACGGUACUGUGAGAAUAAGGAUCGGCUAACUCCGUGCCAGCAGCCGCGGUAAUACGGAGGAUCCAAGCGUUAUCCGGAAUCAUUGGGUUUAAAGGGUCCGUAGGCGGU